RNAcentral lists this ribosomal RNA (444 nucleotides) under uncultured Streptococcus sp. RNAcentral describes it as "bacterial SSU rRNA". It matches the Rfam family "Bacterial small subunit ribosomal RNA", at positions 936 to 1382 of the family's 1533-position model. Lineage: Bacteria; Bacillati; Bacillota; Bacilli; Lactobacillales; Streptococcaceae. The record is from RNAcentral.
AGUAUGUGGUUUAAUUCGACGCAACGCGAAGAACCUUACCAGGUCUUGACAUCCCGAUGCUAUUUCUAGAGAUAGAAAGUUACUUCGGUACAUCGGUGACAGGUGGUGCAUGGUUGUCGUCAGCUCGUGUCGUGAGAUGUUGGGUUAAGUCCCGCAACGAGCGCAACCCCUAUUGUUAGUUGCCAUCAUUCAGUUGGGCACUCUAGCGAGACUGCCGGUAAUAAACCGGAGGAAGGUGGGAUGACGUCAAAUCAUCAUGCCCCUUAUGACCUGGGCUACACACGUGCUACAAUGGUUGGUACAACGAGUUGCGAGUCGGUGACGGCGAGCUAAUCUCUUAAAGCCAAUCUCAGUUCGGAUUGUAGGCUGCAACUCGCCUACAUGAAGUCGGAAUCGCUAGUAAUCGCGGAUCAGCACGCCGCGGUGAAUACGUUCCCGGGCCUU